AUUCAUUACAGGCAUACGCCCAAAAAAGCCUUUGCAGUUUGAGCUGUGAUUACUUGGUAUGUCAAAAGCAAAAAUUAUAUAAAACGACUCAGUUUACGUUAUUAUCUGAUAAGGUAGCUCUUUCAUGAUCAAGUCCGUGAAGUCUGAAACCAUGAAAUAUGCCAAUUUUGCCAUUCGCUCAUUAACAGGUUUUAAUAUAAAAGGCAAUAGUAUCAAGCUGUGUUUUUCUCAAACAAGCAAGCACAAACAGAUGCAUCAUACUGCUUGUAACAAAGUAAAGAUUGAUCUACCGCCUCCAAAUGGCAUUUUGUGAAAUUCCACUCACUUUUUGAGAUGAGGGAAGCAAGCGUAUAGAUCAGAUUUAGGAUGCUUUGCUUCAGCAUGUUCCUUGCACUUCACCUCUGACGUUGUGCACAUGAAAGUCUGCAUGCAAACCUUGCACUGGAUAUUCAUGGCUUUCUUGUUUGAUUCUAAUUGGCUUCCCUUGGCGGCAGCUUUCUGCUUCUCGAUGUGCUUCUCGCGAGCCAUCUUAGCCUUUUGUCCGUUGCCCCCUCCCAUUUUUCCCUUCGAUUAACGCGAAAUUGACGACCCCCGAAGAAACCCUAAUUCUGAACUUUCAGGGCAAAGAGGC
This 631-nucleotide unclassified non-coding RNA is filed under the name Hevea brasiliensis (rubber tree). The record is from RNAcentral. Lineage: Eukaryota; Viridiplantae; Streptophyta; Magnoliopsida; Malpighiales; Euphorbiaceae.